Molecule: transfer RNA, 69 nt
Filed under: Calopteryx splendens (banded demoiselle)
Lineage: Eukaryota; Metazoa; Arthropoda; Insecta; Odonata; Calopterygidae
Description: tRNA-Trp
Rfam family: tRNA
About the family: Transfer RNA (tRNA) molecules are approximately 80 nucleotides in length. Their secondary structure includes four short double-helical elements and three loops (D, anti-codon, and T loops).
Source: RNAcentral
AAAGUCUUAUGUUAAUAAAACAAAUAGCCUUCAAAGUUAUAAAUGAAAGUAAAAUCCUUUUAGGCUUUA